Molecule: long non-coding RNA, 438 nt
Organism: Phyllopteryx taeniolatus (common seadragon)
Lineage: Eukaryota; Metazoa; Chordata; Actinopteri; Syngnathiformes; Syngnathidae
Exons: 3
Source: RefSeq, a predicted model, not a curated record
GUGUUUAUUUCACAGGUUAUACUGAAACAGUUGCUGGAUGUGGCUCAAAACCUUCAGGAGAAGCGCAUCUUCCACCGCGACAUCAAGACUGAAAACAUUCUUAUCGAGAACACUCCCGACGGGCUUCAUGUACGCAUCAUCGACUUUGGCCUAAGCUGCUUCACCAAGAAAAGAUCGCUCUACAGACUGUUUUUCGGAACUCCUUCUCUGGAGCCCCCCGAAUGGCUACGCCAUCGUUGGUACCGGCCGGGCCCGACCACCGCGUGGCAAAUCGGGACGGUGCUCUUUGAAAUCCUUCACGAUGAUGUGGACUUUCAAACAGAAGGGUUCCUCAGGGAGGAGAUAAAAAUCAGCAACACAUUUUCAGACGAUUGUCGGGAUUUCCUGCAGAAGAGUCUGACUGCAGCACCUGAAGAACGGCCCACCUUGAAAGAGCUG